RNAcentral lists this ribosomal RNA (29 nucleotides) under Phlebia tremellosa. RNAcentral's name for it is "partial 18S ribosomal RNA". The record is from RNAcentral. Lineage: Eukaryota; Fungi; Basidiomycota; Agaricomycetes; Polyporales; Meruliaceae.
UCGCUGGUCCCGUUCUUAACAGAGUCGGG